Molecule: ribosomal RNA, 237 nt
Filed under: Triticum aestivum (bread wheat)
Lineage: Eukaryota; Viridiplantae; Streptophyta; Magnoliopsida; Poales; Poaceae
Description: partial small subunit ribosomal RNA
Source: RNAcentral
AUGUUCUUCUGGCUUAUUGCUAAAAAAUGUGUGUUGACCAAAGAUAAUCUAAUAAAAAAAGGGUGGCGAGGGAGGCAGGGCUGUGUGUACUAUGGACAAGAUGAAACCAUAGAUCAUCUGUUCUUCACUUGCUCUGCUGCUAGACUUUUGUGGAGCCUAAUAAAAUGUUUAUUUAAUUUGAACAAUCCCAAAUGGGGUGGACGAUUGUUUGGGAACUUGGAUCAAAAAAUUUGUUAA